This is a long non-coding RNA of Sebastes umbrosus (honeycomb rockfish), 986 nucleotides long. RefSeq lists it as uncharacterized. NCBI's taxonomy places the organism in Eukaryota, Metazoa, Chordata, Actinopteri, Perciformes, Sebastidae. The record is from RefSeq and is a predicted model, not a curated record. The transcript has 4 exons.
UCACAAUGCUCAGAUGUUUUGCGGCUCCAGACAGAUUAUUUUUAUUUUCUUUUGCCUAAAAUGGCUCUUUUGAUAGUAAAGGUUGCUGAACCCUUGUGUAGGCUAGUUGAGUUGACUGGCUAGUCUUGGUUUGGAAAAAACAAAUAUAGGCCCAUAGAGCUCCAAAGGGCUCAGGAAGAGUUGAAGCUCUGGUUAAAAAGAAACUUUCUGAACACUUUAAAGGUAUAAUAUGUAACAGCUGUCAGUUGCUGUAAACCGGGCUUAUUGAAUUAUGAUAUUUCUUUGUGAGAACUGACAUAUACAAGUUAAAGCUGAAGAAAGCCGUAUGGGGUGGAGGAAAUCCCAAACACGUGUUAAGGUGCUGUGCCUGGAGCAGCGAGGGAGGGCGUACUCUGAAGUCACUACCGUCACAGCCUGGUACUAGAUCCAACCUGAGGUGCUGUCCAAGAUGCUGUGCCUGGAGGAUCGAGGGGGGACAAGUUCUGAAGUCAAUGCCGUCACAGCCUGGUACUAGAUCCAACAUGAGCAGCUCAGGAUGAUGAGAGAGAUGUGAGCGGAGGGCCGGAGGAGAGAGUCAGUCGGAGUGGCAGUAAAAUAUGGAAAGAGAGAGGGAGCAGGAAGGAAAAAGACGUGGAUGGCAGGAGACGGAGAACAGAAGAGUGAGCAGGUGAUCUGAGGUGAAAGGAGGGUCACGGAGUAUCGAGCCACCCAGGCGAGGAUAUUAAAAAUAAAUUCCUCAAUACACUUAAUCCACCUUCAUGAUACUUUAAAGUUUAAGCUCUAGUGUGAGUGUGAGGGCAGACGAUGAGACGGUGCCCCAGAUUGAAAAAGAUCCAGAACGUUUUUUUAAUUUUUUUAUGAGAAAACAUUUACAUAAUGCAGCCACAUGCAUUCAUCUUUAAUUUAUUACUACUUUCUGUAGCUUCUUUCAGACUUCUUUUUAGCAAUGCAGUAGAAGUAAAGUGUGCUUACCCUCAUUUUGGCAC